RNAcentral lists this ribosomal RNA (253 nucleotides) under uncultured bacterium. RNAcentral's name for it is "partial 16S ribosomal RNA". It matches the Rfam family "Bacterial small subunit ribosomal RNA", at positions 524 to 776 of the family's 1533-position model. The record is from RNAcentral.
UACGUAGGCAGCGAGCGUUGUUCGGAGUUACUGGGCGUAAAGGGUGUGUAGGCGGUUUUCUAAGUUUGGUGUGAAAUCUCCCGGCUCAACCGGGAGGGUGCGCCGAAAACUAGGAGACUAGAGUGCGGGAUGGGAGAGUAGAAUUCCUGGUGUAGCGGUGAAAUGCGUAGAUAUCAUGAGGAAUACCAGAGGCGAAGGCGGCUACCUGGACAAUUGCUGACGCUCAGGCACGAAAGCGUGGGGAGCAAAAGGG